RNAcentral lists this long non-coding RNA (308 nucleotides) under Pogona vitticeps (central bearded dragon). RNAcentral describes it as "lncRNA (ENSPVIG00000015052.1)". Lineage: Eukaryota; Metazoa; Chordata; Lepidosauria; Squamata; Agamidae. The record is from RNAcentral.
GGGGGGGGGGAGGGGGAGGGGGGGGGGGAGGGAAGGAGAAGAGCCAAGCUGUUCAGAAGACAAGGAAAAGUUAUGUGACUCCUGAUGAAAUAUUCAUACACCAGGCUGGAGAUCUCAGAAGAGGGUGGAUUGCCACUCUGUUGAAGGUCUCUUUAACCAGAGACAUUCUGUAUUGGAAAGACAGGAACACAGUGAUAAUGUUUUCCCCUCCCUCCCCAUGCCCGUCCUCCACCCACCUUGCUAUCAUUUGUUUCAGAUUAAAAAGCACGGAGCGGCAUGAAGCAACGUGAAAAAAAGCUUGUCUCUGC